ACAUGGGGUGCAAGCGUUGUCCGGAAUUAUUGGGCGUAAAGAGCUCGUAGGUGGUUCGUCACGUCGGAUGUGAAACUCUGGGGCUUAACCCCAGACCUGCAUUCGAUACGGGCGAGCUUGAGUAUGGUAGGGGAGUCUGGAAUUCCUGGUGUAGCGGUGGAAUGCGCAGAUAUCAGGAGGAACACCAAUGGCGAAGGCAGGUCUCUGUGCCAAUACUGACACUGAGGAGCGAAAGUCUGGGGAGCGAACAGGAUUAGAUACCCUGGUAGUCCAGACCGUAAACGGUGGGCACUAGUUGUGGGAACCUUCCACGGUUUCUGCGACGCAGCUAACGCAUUAAGUGCCCCGCCUGGGGAGUACGAUCGCAAGAUUA
This 373-nucleotide ribosomal RNA is filed under the name uncultured bacterium. Its description in RNAcentral is "bacterial SSU rRNA". It matches the Rfam family "Bacterial small subunit ribosomal RNA", at positions 525 to 896 of the family's 1533-position model. The record is from RNAcentral.